AACGAACGCUGGCGGCAUGCCUAACACAUGCAAGUCGAACGAAGGCUUCGGCCUUAGUGGCGCACGGGUGCGUAACGCGUGGGAAUCUGCCCUUAGGUUCGGAAUAACAGCUGGAAACGGCUGCUAAUACCGGAUGAUAUCGCGAGAUCAAAGAUUUAUCGCCUGAGGAUGAGCCCGCGUUGGAUUAGGUAGUUGGUGGGGUAAAGGCCUACCAAGCCGACGAUCCAUAGCUGGUCUGAGAGGAUGAUCAGCCGCACUGGGACUGAGACACGGCCCAGACUCCUACGGGAGGCAGCAGUGGGGAAUAUUGGACAAUGGGCGAAAGCCUGAUCCAGCAAUGCCGCGUGAGUGAUGAAGGCCCUAGGGUUGUAAAGCUCUUUUACCCGGGAAGAUAAUGACUGUACCGGGAGAAUAAGCCCCGGCUAACUCCGUGCCAGCCGCCGCGGUAA
Molecule: ribosomal RNA, 449 nt
Filed under: uncultured bacterium
Lineage: Bacteria
Description: partial 16S ribosomal RNA
Rfam family: Bacterial small subunit ribosomal RNA
Source: RNAcentral